Molecule: ribosomal RNA, 436 nt
Filed under: uncultured Alphaproteobacteria bacterium
Lineage: Bacteria; Pseudomonadati; Pseudomonadota; Alphaproteobacteria
Description: bacterial SSU rRNA
Rfam family: Bacterial small subunit ribosomal RNA
Source: RNAcentral
AACGUACGCUGGCGGCACGCCUAACACAUGCAAGUCGAACGAAGUAGCAAUACUUAGUGGCAGACGGGUGAGUAACAUGUAGGUAUCUACCCUAUGGCCUGGAAUAACACGAGGAAACUUGUGCUAAUACCGGAUAAGUCUUUACAGAGAAAGCUUUAUGCACCAUUGGAUGAGCCUGCACUUGAUUAGUUUGUUGGUGGGGUAAUGGCCUACCAAGACUGUGAUCAAUAGCUGAUUUGAGAGGAUGAUCAGCCACAUUGGGGCUGAGACACGGCCCAAACUCCUACGGGAGGCAGCAGUGGGGAAUCUUGCACAAUGGAGGAAACUCUGAUGCAGCGAUGCCGCGUGAGUGAAGAAGGCCUUUGGGUUGUAAAGCUCUUUCGUCGGGGAAGAAAAUGACUGCACCCGAAUAAGAAGGUCCGGCUAACUUCGUGCC